UUCUCCUCCGCAUACAAAUAUGCUGCAGUCUGGAUGUAAACUUGCGCUGUUCACUUGAGUAGGAACAAUAAACUCUCGGAUCUUGGUCAACCUGCAAUCAACAAAUCGAGUCAGGCCAUGGCUGUUCAAGCCAGGGACAUUGCUGAUCAGGAAGUAAAAUGGUCUUCAUUAUUUGAAAGUAAAAACUGUCCACUCUGGCACGGAACCAGACCUUGUACAUCCAUAAAUGGCUGGAUAUCUUUCAUGGCAAAUACCUCUGUUCCUGUUGCACUCGAUACAGCGCAAUGAAAGUUCAUGUUAGAAUUAUAAUUGAACUUGGAAUCCAAGUCGGGUGGAGAGGGGGUCAAUACUCACUCUUUGCUAUCCCAAAACGUGACGACGUUAGAAUGAGUUGUCGUAAUGAUGUUGCCAUCUCUGGAGACUUCCAUCGAGCUGGGUGUUGCUGGAAAAUCGAGUCUUUUCACUUCUUGCCCGCUGUUUCUGUCCCACAAACGCAGGCUUUUGUCAUCGGCACAGGUAACCAAAGCGGUA
This is a long non-coding RNA of Neodiprion fabricii, 531 nucleotides long. RefSeq lists it as uncharacterized. The transcript is spliced from 3 exons. The record is from RefSeq and is a predicted model, not a curated record. NCBI's taxonomy places the organism in Eukaryota, Metazoa, Arthropoda, Insecta, Hymenoptera, Diprionidae.